GCGAUAAGCGUCGGUGAGGUGAUAUGAACCGUUAUAACCGGCGAUUUCCGAAUGGGGAAACCCAGUGUGUUUCGACACACUAUCAUUAACUGAAUCCAUAGGUUAAUGAGGCGAACCGGGGGAACUGAAACAUCUAAGUACCCCGAGGAAAAGAAAUCAACCGAGAUUCCCCCAGUAGCGGCGAGCGAACGGGGAGGAGCCCAGAGCCUGAAUCAGUGUGUGUGUUAGUGGAAGCGUCUGGAAAGGCGUGCGAUACAGGGUGACAGCCCCGUACACAAAAAUGCACAUAUUGUGAGCUCGAUGAGUAGGGCGGGACACGUGGUAUCCUGUCUGAAUAUGGGGGGACCAUCCUCCAAGGCUAAAUACUCCUGACUGACCGAUAGUGAACCAGUACCGUGAGGGAAAGGCGAAAAGAACCCCGGCGAGGGGAGUGAAAAAGAACCUGAAACCGUGUACGUACAAGCAGUGGGAGCCUCUUAAUGGGGUGACUGCGUACCUUUUGUAUAAUGGGUCAGCGACUUAUAUUCUGUAGCAAGGUUAACCGAAUAGGGGAGCCGAAGGGAAACCGAGUCUUAACUGGGCGUUAAGUUGCAGGGUAUAGACCCGAAACCCGGUGAUCUAGCCAUGGGCAGGUUGAAGGUUGGGUAACACUAACUGGAGGACCGAACCGACUAAUGUUGAAAAAUUAGCGGAUGACUUGUGGCUGGGGGUGAAAGGCCAAUCAAACCGGGAGAUAGCUGGUUCUCCCCGAAAGCUAUUUAGGUAGCGCCUCGUGAAUUCAUCUCCGGGGGUAGAGCACUGUUUCGGCAAGGGGGUCAUCCCGACUUACCAACCCGAUGCAAACUGCGAAUACCGGAGAAUGUUAUCACGGGAGACACACGGCGGGUGCUAACGUCCGUCGUGAAGAGGGAAACAACCCAGACCGCCAGCUAAGGUCCCAAAGUCAUGGUUAAGUGGGAAACGAUGUGGGAAGGCCCAGACAGCCAGGAUGUUGGCUUAGAAGCAGCCAUCAUUUAAAGAAAGCGUAAUAGCUCACUGGUCGAGUCGGCCUGCGCGGAAGAUGUAACGGGGCUAAACCAUGCACCGAAGCUGCGGCAGCGACACUAUGUGUUGUUGGGUAGGGGAGCGUUCUGUAAGCCUGUGAAGGUGGCCUGUGAGGGUUGCUGGAGGUAUCAGAAGUGCGAAUGCUGACAUAAGUAACGAUAAAGCGGGUGAAAAGCCCGCUCGCCGGAAGACCAAGGGUUCCUGUCCAACGUUAAUCGGGGCAGGGUGAGUCGACCCCUAAGGCGAGGCCGAAAGGCGUAGUCGAUGGGAAACAGGUUAAUAUUCCUGUACUUGGUGUUACUGCGAAGGGGGGACGGAGAAGGCUAUGUUGGCCGGGCGACGGUUGUCCCGGUUUAAGCGUGUAGGCUGGUUUUCCAGGCAAAUCCGGAAAACCAAGGCUGAGGCGUGAUGACGAGGCACUACGGUGCUGAAGCGACAAAUGCCCUGCUUCCAGGAAAAGCCUCUAAGCAUCAGGUAACAUCAAAUCGUACCCAAAACCGACACAGGUGGUCAGGUAGAGAAUACCAAGGCGCUUGAGAGAACUCGGGUGAAGGAACUAGGCAAAAUGGUGCCGUAACUUCGGGAGAAGGCACGCUGAUAUGUAGGUGAAGCGACUUGCUCGUGGAGCUGAAAUCAGUCGAAGAUACCAGCUGGCUGCAACUGUUUAUUAAAAACACAGCACUGUGCAAACACGAAAGUGGACGUAUACGGUGUGACGCCUGCCCGGUGCCGGAAGGUUAAUUGAUGGGGUUAGCGGUAACGCGAAGCUCUUGAUCGAAGCCCCGGUAAACGGCGGCCGUAACUAUAACGGUCCUAAGGUAGCGAAAUUCCUUGUCGGGUAAGUUCCGACCUGCACGAAUGGCGUAAUGAUGGCCAGGCUGUCUCCACCCGAGACUCAGUGAAAUUGAACUCGCUGUGAAGAUGCAGUGUACCCGCGGCAAGACGGAAAGACCCCGUGAACCUUUACUAUAGCUUGACACUGAACAUUGAGCCUUGAUGUGUAGGAUAGGUGGGAGGCUUUGAAGUGUGGACGCCAGUCUGCAUGGAGCCGACCUUGAAAUACCACCCUUUAAUGUUUGAUGUUCUAACGUUGGCCCGUAAUCCGGGUUGCGGACAGUGUCUGGUGGGUAGUUUGACUGGGGCGGUCUCCUCCUAAAGAGUAACGGAGGAGCACGAAGGUUGGCUAAUCCUGGUCGGACAUCAGGAGGUUAGUGCAAUGGCAUAAGCCAGCUUGACUGCGAGCGUGACGGCGCGAGCAGGUGCGAAAGCAGGUCAUAGUGAUCCGGUGGUUCUGAAUGGAAGGGCCAUCGCUCAACGGAUAAAAGGUACUCCGGGGAUAACAGGCUGAUACCGCCCAAGAGUUCAUAUCGACGGCGGUGUUUGGCACCUCGAUGUCGGCUCAUCACAUCCUGGGGCUGAAGUAGGUCCCAAGGGUAUGGCUGUUCGCCAUUUAAAGUGGUACGCGAGCUGGGUUUAGAACGUCGUGAGACAGUUCGGUCCCUAUCUGCCGUGGGCGCUGGAGAACUGAGGGGGGCUGCUCCUAGUACGAGAGGACCGGAGUGGACGCAUCACUGGUGUUCGGGUUGUCAUGCCAAUGGCACUGCCCGGUAGCUAAAUGCGGAAGAGAUAAGUGCUGAAAGCAUCUAAGCACGAAACUUGCCCCGAGAUGAGUUCUCCCUGACUCCUUGAGGGUCCUGAAGGAACGUUGAAGACGACGACGUUGAUAGGCCGGGUGUGUAAGCGCAGCGAUGCGUUGAGCUAACCGGUACUAAUGAACCGUGAGGCUUAACCUU
RNAcentral lists this ribosomal RNA (2837 nucleotides) under Escherichia coli. RNAcentral describes it as "partial 23S ribosomal RNA". It matches the Rfam family "Bacterial large subunit ribosomal RNA". The record is from RNAcentral. Lineage: Bacteria; Pseudomonadati; Pseudomonadota; Gammaproteobacteria; Enterobacterales; Enterobacteriaceae.